Molecule: ribosomal RNA, 349 nt
Filed under: uncultured Latescibacterota bacterium
Lineage: Bacteria; Pseudomonadati; Candidatus Latescibacterota
Description: bacterial SSU rRNA
Rfam family: Bacterial small subunit ribosomal RNA
Source: RNAcentral
GACAGGUGCUGCAUGGCUGUCGUCAGCUCGUGUCGUGAGAUGUUGGGUUAGUCCCGCAACGAGCGCAACCCUUAUCCCCAGUUGCCAUCAGGUAAAGCUGGGAACUCUGGGGAGACUGCCGGUGAUAAACCGGAGGAAGGCGGGGAUGACGUCAAGUCCUCAUGGCCCUUACAUCCCGGGCUACACACGUGCUACAAUGGCAGGUACAGAGGGCUGCGAAGCCGCGAGGUGGAGCGAAUCCCAGAAAACCUGUCUCAGUCCGGAUUGAAGUCUGCAACUCGACUUCAUGAAGGCGGAAUCGCUAGUAACCGCGAAUCAGCAGGUCGCGGUGAAUACGUUCCCGGGCCUU